GACGAACGCUGGCGGCGUGCUUAACACAUGCAAGUCGAACGGAAAGGCCCUGCUUUUGUGGGGUGCUCGAGUGGCGAACGUGUGAGUAACACGUGAGUAACCUUCCCUUUACUUUGGGAUAACUUCAGGAAACUGGGGCUAAUACCGGAUAGGAGCUCCUGCUGCAUGGUGGGGUUUGGAAAGUUUCGGCGGUUGGGGAUGGACUCGCGGCUUAUCAGCUUGUUGGUGGGGUAGUGGCUUACCAAGGCUUUGACGGGUAGCCGGCCUGAGAGGGUGACCGGCCACAUUGGGACUGAGAUACGGCGCAGACUCCUACGGGAGGCAGCAGGGGGGAAUAUUGCACAAUGGGCGGAAGCCUGAUGCAGCAACGCCGCGUGCGGGAUGAAGGCCUUCGGGUGGUAAACCGCUUUCGCCUGUGACGAAGCGUGAGUGACGGUAAUGGGUAAAGAAGCACCGGCUAACUACGUG
This 468-nucleotide ribosomal RNA is filed under the name uncultured bacterium. RNAcentral describes it as "partial 16S ribosomal RNA". It matches the Rfam family "Bacterial small subunit ribosomal RNA", at positions 28 to 507 of the family's 1533-position model. The record is from RNAcentral.